CACACCGCCUCUGCCCGCUAGU
Molecule: microRNA, 22 nt
Filed under: Rattus norvegicus (Norway rat)
Lineage: Eukaryota; Metazoa; Chordata; Mammalia; Rodentia; Muridae
Description: rno-miR-3594-3p
Source: miRBase by way of RNAcentral